GAUGAACGCUGGCGGCGUGCCUAAUACAUGCAAGUCGAGCGAACGGACGAGAAGCUUGCUUCUCUGAUGUUAGCGGCGGACGGGUGAGUAACACGUGGAUAACCUACCUAUAAGACUGGGAUAACUUCGGGAAACCGGAGCUAAUACCGGAUAAUAUUUUGAACCGCAUGGUUCAAAAGUGAAAGACGGUCUUGCUGUCACUUAUAGAUGGAUCCGCGCUGCAUUAGCUAGUUGGUAAGGUAACGGCUUACCAAGGCAACGAUGCAUAGCCGACCUGAGAGGACGAUCAGCCACACUGGGACUGAGACACGGACCAGACUCCGACGGGAGGCAGCAGUGGGGAAUUUUGGACAAUGGGGGCAAUCCUGAUCAAGCAAUGCAGCGUGAGGGAAGAAGGCCUUCGGGUUGUAAACCGCUUUUGUUAGGGAAGAAAACCUAUGGGCUAAUAACCCGGGGGGAUGACGGUACCGGAAGAAUAAGCACCGGCUAACUACGUG
RNAcentral lists this ribosomal RNA (497 nucleotides) under uncultured bacterium. RNAcentral's name for it is "partial 16S ribosomal RNA". It matches the Rfam family "Bacterial small subunit ribosomal RNA", at positions 28 to 507 of the family's 1533-position model. The record is from RNAcentral.